AGGAGGAACAGCCACACUGGUGGCGGCCAGCUGUCCAGCCCUGGAGUCAGCUCCCGCAGUAACUACCCCAGCUCCCAGUCUGCAGGGGCCUGGAUGCUCCGGGAGUGG
Canis lupus familiaris (dog) is the source of this 108-nucleotide non-coding RNA. The record is from Rfam. Lineage: Eukaryota; Metazoa; Chordata; Mammalia; Carnivora; Canidae.